This 549-nucleotide long non-coding RNA is filed under the name Sorghum bicolor (sorghum). Its description in RNAcentral is "long non-coding RNA (SBIC_LNC016864)". The record is from RNAcentral. Lineage: Eukaryota; Viridiplantae; Streptophyta; Magnoliopsida; Poales; Poaceae.
UUAUUGAACUGAAAACGUUUGAACAGUGAAAGCAUUGAAUGGACCAACCAUCAGUUUUAAAAAGCUCGAAUUUGUAAGUCCUCAGAGAAAAUCUCAGGAUUAACUUGUUUGGCAUCAUAUGGUUAGCCCAUCACAAACAGCAAGCCCAACACAUUAACUCAGGUGAACUAGACUGACUGGGCAGGGUCCUGAAAGACAGUACAUGCUAGGCAUUUUGCACUAAACUUUCUAGGAUAUAGAAGGCUCUUAAGGGUAGCAAGAAGGAAUCAAUGGCACAUCCAAUAACUAAAGAAAAGACUAUGUAUGGUUAGCCCAUCACAAACAGCAAGCCCAACACAUUAACUCAGGUGAACUAGACUGACUGGGCAGGGUCCUGAAAGAAAGUACAUGCUAGGCAUUUUGCACUAAACUUUCUAGGAUAUAGAAGGCUCUUAAGGGUAGCAAGAAGGAAUCAAUGGCACAUCCAAUAACUAAAGAAAAGACUAUGUAUGCCCAAAAUUGGUCACAAUAUUUAGUCUACUCUGGGCAUAGCCUAUUCCAGACUGCUGC